CAUUGAACUUCAACCAUAGUUUUAAAUUAGAAAUGAUCAGAAGCCCUUCAUUACAGCUGUAGCGAUUUGUCUUGUGUGAGAGGAUGUUAAAAUUCAGUACUGAGCUGAAACAGUCUUUAUGACUUCAUAUAUGACUUCACAGCUUCAAAAUUCCACUCUGAUACAGCCUGAAUCUCUCUCUCUCUCUCUCUUUCUCUCUCCGUCUACCUCCACUCACUCGCUCGCUCGUUCUUUCUGUCUGGCCAAGCCUCGGGUAGAAAAAUGUAGCAUAGCUUUGACAGCUAUCCCUGAUGGUUAUUUUUGGAUUCCAGGAGAAACUAUCACUAAAUGUUGUACGAGAGAUAUGUACUGUGAAGACGCUCAGAUCAUGUUCCUGCAACGCAGUUUGAGUUUGAUCUUCCAUUAUCAUCUGAUUUUUCAGCGUCAUGUCACUAUGUCAUGCCCCCUUCCUCUUCUUCCUCCUUUUGCAGUGAAUGUUUCUAUCCACGUUCUUCUAGACCCUCUGGGGAUCCACUGGUUAGCAAGAGAUGUAUUUCUACAUUUCUCCAAAUCUAUUCCACUGAAGAAAUAAACUCUACAUCUUGGAUAACCUGUGGGCCACAACUUAAACCCCAUGAGAUCCAAGUGGUCUCGCACAGUAAAUCACCUCCAGUCUUGUAUGCAG
Molecule: long non-coding RNA, 664 nt
Organism: Cyprinus carpio carpio
Lineage: Eukaryota; Metazoa; Chordata; Actinopteri; Cypriniformes; Cyprinidae
Source: Ensembl